AGUGAACGCUGGCGGUAGGCCUAACACAUGCAAGUCGAACGGCAGCACAGUAAGAGCUUGCUCUUACGGGUGGCGAGUGGCGGACGGGUGAGGAAUACAUCGGAAUCUACUUUUUCGUGGGGGAUAACGUAGGGAAACUUACGCUAAUACCGCAUACGACCUACGGGUGAAAGCAGGGGAUCUUCGGACCUUGCGCGAUUGAAUGAGGCGAUGUCGGAUUAGCUAGUUGGCGGGGUAAAGGCCCACCAAGGCGACGAUGCGUAGCUGGUCUGAGAGGAUGAUCAGCCACACUGGAACUGAGACACGGUCCAGACUCCUACGGGAGGCAGCAGUGGGGAAUAUUGGACAAUGGGCGCAAGCCUGAUCCAGCCAUACCGCGUGGGUGAAGAAGGCCUUCGGGUUGUAAAGCCCUUUUGUUGGGAAAGAAAAGCAGCAGGUUAAUACCCCGCUGUUCUGACGGUACCCAAAGAAUAAGCACCGGCUAACUUCGUG
RNAcentral lists this ribosomal RNA (492 nucleotides) under uncultured bacterium. Its description in RNAcentral is "partial 16S ribosomal RNA". It matches the Rfam family "Bacterial small subunit ribosomal RNA", at positions 29 to 507 of the family's 1533-position model. The record is from RNAcentral.